UGGUGAUGUGACUAAGUUCUAGCCAGUGGUUUGCAAGCAGUUGUGAGGAAGUUUCCUUGAAGAGAAGGAAUGUUCCUUUACCUUCCCCUUCCCUUCUCGCUGCAAUCUGGAAAGCAGACGUGAUGGCUGGUGUUGGAGCAGCAAACUUGGCCUUGAAGUGACCUCGUAAACCUGAGGGGACCACAGCAUGGAAGGUGCCGCUUCACGACACUGUGGAGUGUUAUACUAACUAGAGGACUCUAUCUCUGGAUAUCCUAUCUCUGGAUUUGUGGUGACAAACUUCACUCUCAGGACUAAUAGCAGAAUGGAGAAGACAGAAAAAAAAAAAUCAGUGAAUGUAAAAGUUCACCAGUAGAAAUGUUCCAAUCUGAAGAAGAAGGAGAGAAAGAUUUCUUAAAAAAGAACAAGCCCUCUAGGAUUUGUAGGACAAUAGCAGACGUCUACUGAUGUCUGAGAAGAAAGGAGAGAAAUGAUGGGGCAGAAAAAAUAUUUGAAGAAACAGUGACUGAAAAUUUCCCCGAUCUGCUGAAAGUCAUGAAUUUAUAGAUUCAAGAAAUCCAGUGAACCCCAAGGAAAAUAAACGUAAAGAAAACCACAUCUGGAUGCAUUAUAGUCAGAAUACUGAAAACUAGAGAGAAAGAGAAUAUUUGAAAGCAGCGAGAGAAAAACAACACAUUACGUAGUGGGCAACAGUAAUUUUGACACCCACAGACUUCUUGUGAGAAAACAUGGAGUACCAGAAAAUAGUGGAACAACAUCGUUAAAGUACCAGAAGGAAACAUUGUCAACCUAGAAUUCUAUAUACAGCAAAUAUAUCCCUCCAAAAAGAAAGCAGACACUCUUUUACAAUGCCAGCAGAUCUUCACUGGAAGAAAAGCAAAACAAGUUCUUCAAGCUGGUGGGAAAUUAUACCAGAGGGAAACUUGGACCCCCAGAAAGGAAUAAAGAACACCAGUAAUGGCAGUGUGCUCCUGAAGGGACCAUCUCUCUACUGAGUUCCCAGGCUUGAGGACAGAAUUGGAUGCUUAUGGCAUGGUCCUGACCAAAUGCAGAACAUCCCAGAAUCAGCACCCAGGAGGACACAGCCGUCACAGAAUCCAACCUGACAAAUGUCUCAGUCUCCCUUAAUAGAAAUCUCUCAUCUAAGAUUAGUUUUUAAACAGAUUUCUUAAGGUAAUUAACGUGCACAUUAUAUUUUUAAAAACUUGGCCAUUAAAAGUCAGCCUUCCUCCUAUCC
Molecule: long non-coding RNA, 1237 nt
Organism: Herpailurus yagouaroundi (jaguarundi)
Lineage: Eukaryota; Metazoa; Chordata; Mammalia; Carnivora; Felidae
Exons: 3
Source: RefSeq, a predicted model, not a curated record